This 752-nucleotide ribosomal RNA is filed under the name Pireneitega huochengensis. RNAcentral describes it as "SSU rRNA". It matches the Rfam family "Eukaryotic small subunit ribosomal RNA", at positions 172 to 922 of the family's 1831-position model. Lineage: Eukaryota; Metazoa; Arthropoda; Arachnida; Araneae; Agelenidae. The record is from RNAcentral.
UGCAGCAGAGCUCCGACCUUCGGGGACGAGCGCUUUUAUUAGACCAAAACCAAUCGGACCUCGUGUCCGUCCUUUGUGGUGACUCUGUAUAACUUUGGGCUGAUCGCACGGGCCUGUCCCGGCGACGUAUCUUUCAAGUGUCUGCCUUAUCAACUUUCGAUGGUAGGUUACGCGCCUACCAUGGUCGUAACGGGUAACGGGGAAUCAGGGUUCGAUUCCGGAGAGGGAGCCUGAGAAACGGCUACCACAUCCAAGGAAGGCAGCAGGCGCGCAAAUUACCCACUCCCAGAACGGGGAGGUAGUGACGAAAAAUAACAAUACGGGACUCUUUUGAGACCCCGUAAUUGGAAUGAGUACACUCUAAAUCCUUUAACGAGGAUCCAUUGGAGGGUAAGUCUGGUGCCAGCAACCGCGGUAAUUCCAGCUCCAAUAGCGUAUAUUAAAGUUGUUGCGGUUAAAAAGCUCGUAGUUGGAUCUCAGUUCCAGACGGGUGGUCCUCCUACCGGUGGUUACUGCCUGUUCUGAACAGUCAGCCGGUUUCUCUUGAUGAUCUUCACCGGUUGUCUUGGGUGACCGGCAAGUUUACUUUGAAAAAAUUAGAGUGCUCAAAGCAGGCGUGACGCCUGAAUAAUGGUGCAUGGAAUAAUGGAAUAGGACCUCGGUUCUAUUUUGUUGGUUUUCGGAACACGAGGUAAUGAUUAAGAGGGACAGACGGGGGCAUUCGUAUUGCGACGCUAGAGGUGAAAUUCUUG